UCCAAUGAAGCAUGGCUGAAAUAACACAGUCUCCUUGUUGCAGGUUUUGGGAACGCAGCGUCAGCUAGACCCUGGGGCCCUGUGGCUUCCGUCCUCUCCUGGAGAGGCUGUCACUGGAGAAAGAACCUGGCAGCCAGCAGUAAACUCUGAC
Molecule: long non-coding RNA, 151 nt
Filed under: Rhinopithecus bieti (black snub-nosed monkey)
Lineage: Eukaryota; Metazoa; Chordata; Mammalia; Primates; Cercopithecidae
Description: lncRNA (ENSRBIG00000045444.1)
Source: RNAcentral